AUGAACGUUGGCGGCGUGGAUUAGGCAUGCAAGUCGAACGCGAAGGCCCCGCAAGGGGUUUGUAGCGUGGCGAAAGGGGCAGUAACACAUAAGUAACUUGCCUCCAGGACCGGGAUAUACGGUGGAAACGCCGGGCAAUACCGGACGUCCUCACGAGACGGCAUCGUUUUGUGAGGAAAGGUUUACCGCCUGGAGAGGGGCUUAUGCUCUAUCAGCUAGUUGGCGGGGUAACGGCCCACCAAGGCAUUGACGGAUAGGGGGUGUGAGAGCACGACCCUCGCCAUUGGCACUGAGACACUGGCCAGACUCCUACGGGAGGCUGCAGUCGAGAAUCUUCGGCAAUGGGCGAAAGCCUGACCGAGCGACGCCGCGUGGAGGAAGAAGGCCUUCGGGUUGUAAACUCCUGUUGGGGGGAAUCAAUUCAAUGAGAGAACCCCUGAGGAAGCACGGGCUAAGUUCGU
This 461-nucleotide ribosomal RNA is filed under the name uncultured bacterium. Its description in RNAcentral is "bacterial SSU rRNA". It matches the Rfam family "Bacterial small subunit ribosomal RNA", at positions 29 to 506 of the family's 1533-position model. The record is from RNAcentral.